RNAcentral lists this transfer RNA (72 nucleotides) under Talaromyces marneffei ATCC 18224. RNAcentral's name for it is "tRNA-Thr (CGT) (tRNA-Thr-CGT-1-1)". It matches the Rfam family "tRNA". From Rfam's summary of the family: Transfer RNA (tRNA) molecules are approximately 80 nucleotides in length. Their secondary structure includes four short double-helical elements and three loops (D, anti-codon, and T loops). The record is from RNAcentral. Lineage: Eukaryota; Fungi; Ascomycota; Eurotiomycetes; Eurotiales; Trichocomaceae.
GCCCCUAUAGCUCAGUGGUAGAGCGUUGCACUCGUAAUGCAAAGGUCCAUUGUUCGAUCCAGUGUCGGGGCA